GCACUCAGGACUCACAAUUAGCUCAAUCAGUAGAGCAUAAGACUCUUAAUCUCAAGGUUGUGGGUUUGAGCCCCAUGUCAGGCA
This is a non-coding RNA of Podarcis lilfordi (Lilford's wall lizard), 84 nucleotides long. The record is from the annotation of a GenBank genome assembly. Lineage: Eukaryota; Metazoa; Chordata; Lepidosauria; Squamata; Lacertidae.